AUAUGAUUCUUGUUUAGAAAUAGUGUUUAAGAAAAAUUUAACAUACAAAUAGUAAUGAACUAGUAUUUCUGUAAAAAUUUUUUUGUUUGUUUGUGUAGUUAAUAAUUUUUGUUAAUAAUUAAUGUUAGUAAAGUUUUCUUAUAAAAAUCAGUUAAAUUUGUGCCAGCAGCUGCGGUUAGACUUGGGAUUUAAGUUAUUUUAAUUGAGGGGUAAGUUUUUGUUAAUAUACUAUAUUAGGUUAAAAUUUAGGUGAAAAAUAAUUUAGUAUUUAAAGUGUUUGGUAAAUUUGUAGAGACUUGGUUAAGACUAGGAUUAGAUACCCUAUUAUACGAGUUAUUAGAGUCUUAAAGGAUUAUAGAUAAAAUUAAGGAAUUUGGCGGCUGUUAUGUUUUAGAGGAACUUGUCUAGUAAUCGAUAAACCUCGUUUUUGUUUUUCUUGAAUUAGUUUUGUAUACCGUCAUCUAGAUAAUUUUAAGAAGAUUUAUCGAGAAAUGUUUUAUGGAAGUUAGAUCAAGGUGCAGAUAUGUUUAAGAUAGGAUUAGUUACAGUAAUUAUUUGUUGAGCAGAAGAGAUAGAAAUAUUUUGUUAGUGUAGGAUUUAAUUGUAGGGUUAUAUAUAUUUGAAUUUUUUUUAACAGUGUACAAAUUGCCCGUCGUUCUCUUUGAGGUAAGUCGAAACAAAGUAGAGGUACCGGAAGGUGUCUCU
RNAcentral lists this non-coding RNA (705 nucleotides) under Bahadzia jaraguensis. Lineage: Eukaryota; Metazoa; Arthropoda; Malacostraca; Amphipoda; Hadziidae. The record is from RNAcentral.